AGUGAACGCUGGCGGUAGGCCUAACACAUGCAAGUCGAACGGCAGCACAGUAAGAGCUUGCUCUUACGGGUGGCGAGUGGCGGACGGGUGAGGAAUACAUCGGAAUCUACUUUUUCGUGGGGGAUAGCGUAGGGAAACUUACGCUAAUACCGCAUACGACCUACGGGUGAAAGCAGGGGAUCUUCGGACCUUGCGCGAUUGAAUGAGCCGAUGUCGGAUUAGCUAGUUGGCGGGGUAAAGGCCCUCCAAGGCGACGAUCCGUAGCUGGUCUGAGAGGAUGAUCAGCCACACUGGAACUGAGACACGGUCCAGACUCCUACGGGAGGCAGCAGUGGGGAAUAUUGGACAAUGGGCGCAAGCCUGAUCCAGCCAUACCGCGUGGGUGAGGAAGGCCUUCGGGUUGUAAAGCCCUUUUGUUGGGAAAGAAAAGCAGCAGGUUAAUACCCCGCUGUUCUGACGGUACCCAAAGAAUAAGCACCGGCUAACUUCGUG
RNAcentral lists this ribosomal RNA (492 nucleotides) under uncultured bacterium. Its description in RNAcentral is "partial 16S ribosomal RNA". It matches the Rfam family "Bacterial small subunit ribosomal RNA", at positions 29 to 507 of the family's 1533-position model. The record is from RNAcentral.